CUUCUCGGCGCCAUUUUGUCUCGGCAGCGGUGGCCGUAGCUCCAUCGCAUUUUAUGUUUCUGGCGAGAAGGGAACGGAGUUUUCAUCAGGUAGAUUGGUUUUUGUGCAGCCGUCCUCCACCGUUUCCUCCAGGACAGCACCUAGUCGUGGCCGGAAGAGUCUCAGAGCUGUCAGAAAGAAAUAAUCGGCUGGGCGUGGUGGCUCAUGCCUGUAAUCCCAGCACUUUGGGAGGCCCAGGCGGGUGGAUCACCUGAGGUCGAGAGUUCAAGACCAGCCUGACCAACAUGGAGAAACCCCAUCUCUACUAAAAAUACAAAAUUAGCCGGGCGUGGUGGCGCAUGCCUGUAAUUCCAGCUAAUUGGGAGGCUGAGGCAGGAGAAUCCCUUAAACCUGGAAGACGGAGGUUGCAAAUAAGACUGAUUUUAUGGGAAAAUUAAGCAAAUGCUCCAGUUUGAAAAACCUGGAUCUGCGAUCUGUUUGUGAGUGGUGUUCAGUUAACAGAACAAU
RNAcentral lists this non-coding RNA (507 nucleotides) under Pongo abelii (Sumatran orangutan). Lineage: Eukaryota; Metazoa; Chordata; Mammalia; Primates; Hominidae. The record is from RNAcentral.